Long non-coding RNA from Ictalurus punctatus (channel catfish), 2556 nucleotides. NCBI's taxonomy places the organism in Eukaryota, Metazoa, Chordata, Actinopteri, Siluriformes, Ictaluridae. The record is from Ensembl.
GAGAAGGAGAGAGAGAAGGAGAGAGAGAAGGAGAAGGAGGGUGACAGAAGGUGGCUGUAUCCAUGGUUGCAUGGCUCGAAUGAUUUGGGUCAGUGCAUGGAUUCAGAUGAUCUGAGUGUGUUUCAGAAGCACGGUGUAUUCGGCAUUAAGCAGCCCCCCUGUCAGAAACCUAUUUAAUAAUACACAGAGGAGCACAAACACACUUUCAAAUUGAGAGCGAUUGCACGGCGUCCCUGAAGAUGAUCGUUCGUUCAUCCCUCCGUCUCGCCCCUCUGUCUGUCUGAGUGAAGAAUGAGCCGGGAUUCACAAAGUGAACGCUUCAAAUCACAUUCCUGUCAGAGCAAACAGGAGGAGUGGAGAGACACUGUGCAUGAAGAGUCAGUACAAACACACACACACACACACACACUGACAUACACAUACUCACACUAUACGCACACACACAAAUGGGAUUUUAGAGUGUAUGCAAGUUCAAAUCCCAGAACUGCCAAGCACGUCAGUAAUUAAGUCAGUGAGUAAGUCAGUAAAUUAGUAAAUCAGUAAUUAAGUCAGUGAGUAAGUCAGUAAAUUAGUAAAUCAGUAAUUAAGUCAGUGAGUAAGUCAGUAAAUUAGUAAGUCAGUAAUUAGGUCAGUAAUUAAGUCAGUAGUUAAGUCAGUAGGUAAGUCAGUGAGUAAGUCAGUAAAUUAGUAAGUCAGUAAUAAAGUCAGUAAGUCAGUAAUCAAGUCAGUGAGUAAUUCAGUAAAUUAGUCAGUAAUUAAGUCAGUAAGUCAGUAAAUUAGUUAGUCAGUAAUUAAGUCAGUAAGAAGGUCAGUGGAGUAAGUCAGUAAAUUAGUAAGUCGGUAAUUAAGUCAGUAAGAAGGUCAGAGAGUAAGUCGGUAAAUUAGUAAGUCAGUAAUUAGGUCAGUAAUUAAGUCAGUAGUUAAGUCAGUAGUUAAGUCAGUAAUUAAGUCAGUAGGUAAGUCAGUGAGUAAGUCAGUAAAUUAGUAAGUCAGUAAUAAAGUCAGUAAGUGAGUCAGUAAUCAAGUCAGUGAGUAAGUCAGUAAAUUAGUUAGUCAGUAAUUAAGUCAGUGAGUAAGUCAGUAAAUUAGUAAGUCGGUAAUUAAGUCAGUAAUCAAGUCAGUAAGUAAGUCAGUAAUCAAGUCAGUGAGUAAGUCAGUAAUUUAGUUAGUCAGUAAUUAAGUCAGUAAGUUAGUAAGUCAGUAUUUAAUUCCGUAAGUGAGUCAGUAAGUUAUUAAAGAGUAAGGCAGCACAUGAGUCAUUAAUUCAUUAAGUGAGUAAGUUGCUAAGUUAGUGAGUUAUUAAGUCUGUAAAUUAUUAAGUCAGUAAUUAAUUCAGUGAGUCAUUACAUUAUUAAAUAAGUGAGACGGUUAGUAAGUUGGUAAGUCAGGAAGUAAGUGAGUAAUUCAGUCAGUAAGUGAGUCAGUUAGCUAUUAAGUCAGUGAUUAUGUCGGUAAGUCAGUAAUUUAGUAAAUCAGUAAAUUAGUACAUCAGUGAGUAAGUCAGGAAGUAAGUGAGUAAGUGCUAAGUUAGUAAGUCAGUAUGUUAAUAAGUAACGUUAAUAAGUAUGUUCUUAAUGAGUUAGUUAACGUUAAUGAGUAAGUCAGUAAGUGAGUAAGUACUAAGUUAGUAAGUCAGUAAGUUAAGUCAGUUAUUAAAUGAGUCAGUAAGUGAGUAAGUGAGUGAGUCAGUCAGUCAUUAAAGCAGUCAGCUUUAGUAAGCUGCCACUGUAGUGCCCUUGAGCAAUGCCCUAAACCCUCCUCUGUUCAGCUCAGGUAUAACUUUGGAGAACAAGCGUCUUCCGAAUGCAUAAACAUAAAAGUUUUCAGUGACAGCUGCUGAUUUAAAGGCUGUGAUUUUAAUACUAUGCAUAGUACAGUAAAAUAGUGCAGUAAAGUAGUACAGCAAAAAGUACAGUAAAAUAGUACAGUUAAAUAGUACAGUAAAGUAGUACAAUAAAAUAGUACAGUAAAAUAGUACAGUAAAUAGUACAGUAAAGUAGUACAGUAAAUAGUACAGUAAAAUAGUACACUUAAAUAGUACAGUAAAGUAGUACAGUAAAAUAGUACAGUAAAAUAGUACACUUAAAUAGUACAGUAAAGUAGUACAGUAAAUAGUACAAUAAAAUAGUACAGUUAAAUAUUACAAUAAAAUAGUACAGUAAAAUAGUACAAUAAAGUAGUACAGUAAAAUAGUACAGUUAAAUUGUACAGUAAAAAGUACAGUAAAACAGUACAGUUAAAUAGUACAGUAAAGUAGUACAAUUAAACAGAACAGUAAAGUAGUACAGUAAUACUACAGUAAAGUAAUAUGGUAAAAUAAUUCAGUAAAAUAGUACAGUAAGUAGUACAGUAAAGUAGUACAGUAAAAUAGUACAGUAAAGUAGUACAGUAAAAUAGUAUGGUAAAAUAGUGCAUAAAAUAGUACAGUAAAGUAAUACAGUAAAGAAGUACGGUAAAGAAGUACAGGGGCGGAAAAGGGGGUGAGAGGGAAAACAUCUUAUUUUUAUCAGGAAGACAUCGCUCUCUCUCUCUCUCUCUCUCUCUCUUCUCCUCUCU